Molecule: ribosomal RNA, 109 nt
Filed under: Bacteroidales bacterium
Lineage: Bacteria; Pseudomonadati; Bacteroidota; Bacteroidia; Bacteroidales
Source: RNAcentral
UCAGGUGGCUAUUGCGACAGGGCUCCACCUCUUCCCAUUCCGAACAGAGAAGUUAAACCUGUCAGCGCCGAUGGUACUGCGUUUGUGGGAGAGUAGGUCGCCGCCGAAC